Molecule: ribosomal RNA, 483 nt
Filed under: uncultured bacterium
Lineage: Bacteria
Description: bacterial SSU rRNA
Rfam family: Bacterial small subunit ribosomal RNA
Source: RNAcentral
UAGUCCACGCCCUAAACGAUGCUAACUGGACGUAUGGAUUUUGAUUUGUGCGUCUGAGGGAAACCAUUAAGUUAGCCACCUGGGGAGUACGUCCGCAAGGAUGAAACUCAAAGGAAUUGACGGGGUCCGCACAAGCGGUGGAGCAUGUGGUUUAAUUCGAUGAUACGCGAGGAACCUUACCUGGGCUCGAACGCUAUUGGCCAUUUCGGGAAACCGGAAUUUCCUUCGGGACCGAUAGUGAGGUGCUGCAUGGUUGUCGUCAGCUCGUGCCGUGAGGUGUUGGGUUAAGUCCCGCAACGAGCGCAACCCUUAUCCUUAGUUGCCAGCAUGUAAUGAUGGGGACUCUAAGGAGACUGCCGGCGUAAGCCGCGAGGAAGGUGGGGAUGACGUCAAAUCAUCAUGGGCCUUUAUGCCCAGGGGCGACACACGUGCUACAAUGGGUCGGUACAGAGGGGUCGCGAAGCCGCGAGGUGGAGCUAAUCU